GUGAGCUUGGUGGUAAAGCUGCUGGUGAGGGCGUUGUAAACGCUGCGGGUGAUUCUUCUAAUCCGAUGGUCGGAGGUUCGAAUCCUCCCGGGC
Molecule: transfer RNA, 93 nt
Filed under: Actinopolymorpha cephalotaxi
Lineage: Bacteria; Bacillati; Actinomycetota; Actinomycetes; Propionibacteriales; Actinopolymorphaceae
Description: tRNA-OTHER
Source: RNAcentral